This 419-nucleotide long non-coding RNA is filed under the name Paramuricea clavata. Lineage: Eukaryota; Metazoa; Cnidaria; Anthozoa; Malacalcyonacea; Plexauridae. The record is from RNAcentral.
CUCCUCUCUAAAAUUUCUACAUCCUCAGAGCAUACUUCGUGUCCAGUUCGUUCUGCAUGUUCCUUUAUAGCCGACUCUGCAAUCUGCGGUCUUGUUCCCCACGGUUUAUGUUCAGCCCAACGGGUUUCCAUCAUCGUUUACUUUCUCCAAUGUAAAGGAAAUUACAUGUUUUACACUUGAAUUUGUAAACGAUGCCUUUGACUUGAGUUUCUGAUGGUCUAGCUGUCUUUCGGUUUUUUGAAUAUUCCGCCCAAUGUUAAUUGUUAGUGGCUUAUACGCUGUUCUGAUACUGGCACCAGUCAAGAUUCGGUUGACUCUCUCCGAAAUGCCUUUGACAUAUGGGAUACAUGCAUAACCUUUGGGCUCAGCAACAGAACUGAGUUGGUUCGUUCAAUCUUUCGGGUUUGCUUGCAACACUG